GUGAAGAGGGAAACAACCCAGACCGCCAGCUAAGGUCCCAAAGUCAUGGUUAAGUGGGAAACGAUGUGGGAAGGCCCAGACAGCCAGGAUGUUGGCUUAGAAGCAGCCAUCAUUUAAAGAAAGCGUAAUAGCUCACUGGUCGAGUCGGCCUGCGCGGAAGAUGUAACGGGGCUAAACCAUGCACCGAAGCUGCGGCAGCGAACGUAUCACUUAAAGCGAUUCAGCGGAUGACGAUUGACGGAGCGAAGCGACGUCAAAGCGUAUACAAAGUCGAGUCGGUUUAAGGAUACGUUCGUUGGGUAGGGGAGCGUUCUGUAAGCCUGUGAAGGUGUGUCGUGAGGCAUGCUGGAGGUAUCAGAAGUGCGAAUGCUGACAUAAGUAACGAUAAAGCGGGUGAAAAGCCCGCUCGCCGGAAGACCAAGGGUUCCUGUCCAACGUUAAUCGGGGCAGGGUGAGUCGACCCCUAAGGCGAGGCCGAAAGGCGUAGUCGAUGGGAAACGGGUUAAUAUUCCCGUACUUGGUGUUACUGCGAAGGGGGGACGGAGAAGGCUAUGUUGGCCGGGCGACGGUUGUCCCGGUUUAAGCGUGUAGG
This 592-nucleotide ribosomal RNA is filed under the name Salmonella enterica. RNAcentral's name for it is "partial 23S ribosomal RNA". It matches the Rfam family "Bacterial large subunit ribosomal RNA", at positions 1010 to 1524 of the family's 2925-position model. The record is from RNAcentral. Lineage: Bacteria; Pseudomonadati; Pseudomonadota; Gammaproteobacteria; Enterobacterales; Enterobacteriaceae.